UCCGACAAAGCAGAUCUACCACACUUACCUGGUUCUUCAACGAAGCAGAUCCUCCCGUCAUCGUCCGCUACGGUCUCCUCACCACGACGACACAUCUUUCUUCAUCUUUCCCAGCCUCCAUUUUCGUUUAUACUCCAGCAAAUUUACCGAAGCUUCGAUUUCGUCAUCUUUCCCAGCCCUCGGCUGAUUCUCCGAUGAUCAUCCCACAAAAGCUUCAAUUUUUCGUCUUCCAGGUUUCAAUCAACAGAAUCUGAUGGGGUUACAUCAACUGGUUUCGAUUUCUUCUAGGGUUUCGAUAUCGAUCGAGAUGCCAAAAACUUGAAAAGAUCGAGGUGCCAAAAAGAUGGACAGAUUUUCGUUACAGAAGAUGAAGACUCGUUUUCGUUUAAAAAAAGGGGUUUUGCAUCGAGUUCAUAUGAAACCUUCCUAUUUCAUAGAGUUCAUCAAUAGGUUUUGCAAUUUAUUUAGUCUACAAAAAAUGAGUUUGUAUUUGAUAUUGUUGCAUUUGAUCUGGUUUGUUCUUCAAAAAAGAACGUUCCCAUGGGUUCAUUGAUUUGAUCUUGAUUUUGAA
Cynara cardunculus var. scolymus (artichoke) is the source of this 571-nucleotide long non-coding RNA. RefSeq lists it as uncharacterized. The transcript has 2 exons. The record is from RefSeq and is a predicted model, not a curated record. Lineage: Eukaryota; Viridiplantae; Streptophyta; Magnoliopsida; Asterales; Asteraceae.